GAUGAACGCUGGCGGCGUGCCUAAUACAUGCAAGUCGAACGCUGCAGAUCUAGCUUGCUAGAUCGAAGGAGUGGCGAACGGGGGAGCAACACAUAAGCAACCUACCCACGAAGACUGGGAUAAUCUCUGGAAACGGGGACUAAUACCGGAAAGGUAAUCCGAAUGCGUCUUCUGGUUAUUAAAGGUUACAAACACUGGUGGAUAGGAUUAUGCCGCAUUAGUUGGCUGGUGUGGUAACGGCCCACCAGGACGAGGACGCGUAGCCGGCCGGAGAGGGUGAGAGGCCACAUGGGGACUGGGACACGGCCCAGAGGCCUACGGGAGGGAGCAGUAGCGAACUGUCGGCAGUGGGGGCAACCCUGACCGAGCGACGCCGAGUGAGUGAAGGCGGCGUUCGGGUUGUAAAGCUCUGUUGUAAGGGAAGAACGGUAGAUAGAGAAUAUCUAAGUGACGGUACCUGGACAGAAAGCCACGGCUAACUACGUG
Molecule: ribosomal RNA, 486 nt
Filed under: uncultured bacterium
Lineage: Bacteria
Description: partial 16S ribosomal RNA
Rfam family: Bacterial small subunit ribosomal RNA
Source: RNAcentral